UUUUUUUUUUUUUUUUUUGGUCUUUUUGCCUUUUCUAGGGCCGCUUCUGCAGCAUAUGGAGGUUUCCAGGCUAGGGGUCUAAUCGGAGCUACAGCUAUCAGCCUACGCCAGAGCCACAGCCAUGCGGAAUCCAAGCCGCGUCUGCAACCUACACCACAGCUCACAGCAAUGCUGGAUCCUUAAGCCACUAGCAAGGCCAGGGAUUGAACCAGCAACCUCAUGGUUCCUAGUCAGAUUCGCUAACCACUGUGCCACAAUGGGAACUCCAAAUUUAACUUUUUAUUAUCAUUUUCAAUUGAAAGCUGCUGCAAUUGUCACAUCUGUCAAUAUAAUGCCAUACAUUUGCAUCAUUCUUUCCAGUUUAAAAAGCACUUUUCAUAUAUUUUCAUUUGGCCUCCCUAAUAAUGUAACACAGUUUUCCUCAUGUUAUUAAUGAAAAACUGAAGUUUAGGGAAGUAAAUGAAAUAAUGGGUUCCAAGUGCCACAGCUGUUAAAUGACAGAGCUAGGACUCAACCACGGUGUUCUAAAACACGAUUCCAUGUCUAUGACAUAUAGCAGGACUUAGAAUUUAGAUUACAGGGAUCCAAGAAACACCUGUGCUAUACCAGACAUGUAGUAAGUGUUUUCAUAUAUGCCACCUGACAUGAACUUAACAGCAAACCUGCAAUGAUCGAAGGACUGCAGAGUACUUCACUUUAUCCUAAUAUGUGUGUAUGGUGUGAAAGAGACUGUGGGAAGGGUGGGUGGAGGUGAGAAAUGAGUCCACAGAGACAAAGAUAAUUCAAUUAAUCUUUUUUAUUCCCAUUUAAUAGAUAAGAAAAGAGGUUGAAAGAGGAGAUGAGAAUAGCUAACAGGAGAAUUUUAGGUAAAAUCAAAAGUCAAAUUCAAUCUUAUUUCACAAUUUCAUAGGAGAUGAAUGGAUUGAAGGAUAGAUGGAUGGUGAAUCCACUACCACCCAAGAGCCUGCUGGGGAGUUUUCUCCACCAAGAGCAAUGAUUCAGAUCCACCUGGCUAAGCUCUUUUGAAUCCUAACAUCUGUGCUUUUAGUAAAAGAGGGUAAUAAAAUGGAACCCAAGAAAGACUUGAAGAUGAUGGAAGCACAGAUGCAAAAGAACCAGUGGGCACAGCCUCACACAUGAACAGUUACAGCAAAAUAUCCCAAGUCUGAUGGAAUUAACCUCAUGCCAACUAAGAGAGCAGCUUAAUAACUCCUCUUGUCAGAGAUUUUUCCAGAUGCAGGAAAUAAAGACAGGUCCGAGUCAGAAGAACAAUUAAACAGGUAAAAACUUGUAUUGAACAAAGAUAGAGCCCAUUCUUGUAAUUAGCAAGCCACUGGUCAUGGUUCAGUAACACAGAGAUGGUCCCAUUCCCUCUGUGAUUCACACAGUUCUCUCCCAGAAAGACUGACUGCCAGGAUAUGAGAGCUAGCUCAAAUAAUUGCAGGGUACUGCCUGCCACCCGGGCUCUCGUUUCCGUAGAGAUCACAUCUUCCCCUAAUCAGAGGAGGGUUUUCAAAUGACACCGCUGAACAGCUCUGUCUUUGACAUCUCAGGCAAAUUAAUGGGUUGGGGAGGGGGGGAUUUUGAGAAACAAGCAUAAGAAAUUAAGAUUCUAGUAGAGUUGGUUGAGUUUUCUGAGAGGGGGCCGUAAUUAUAGUAGUGGCAAGUCGGCUAAGUCUUGGCCUGCCACAUUUCAAUCAAUCCUCCUAACUACCUCCUGAGGUAGGCAGUAUUAUCAUUCCCACCUUAAAAGUAAGGAAACAUACAUGAGAAGGUUAAGAGAGGUAAAGUGAUUUGCCCAAGGUCACACAGUUAGCAAUGACAGAGACAGAAUUCAAACCUAAAUGUGUCUGGCACCAGAUCCUUCACCUAUUCACUAUUUUAUCAUGUCUAUCCUUAAGGGAAGAACUGGACAGACAUGGGCAGGAAGAUGUUUUUAAAAAGAGUAUUUUUAUUUUAUAAUGUAAAUUUGCCUAAUUAGGCAAAUCUUAACGGUGCUUCAUCCAUCAAGCCUUCUUAAAAUAUUUCCAUCGCAUCCCAGAGGGAAAAAGCUCAAUUUUCAGAUUCAUUCGCUUGCUAUCUAGGUGCUAGCAAGGGUAAUUCAUUCAUUUCAACAAUAUUAGAAGCCCACUCUUCAUCAAACCCAUGCAUAUGUAAACAUUUGCUUAAGCCAUGAGUGAUUAAAUAACUGAAUGAUUUUAUCUGCAUGAAACCAAGAAUACAACAGUCCCAAGCUGUUUGCAGUUACUAAUGAAAUGUUGUAAAUGUAAUGUUGUAAAGCACUUCAAGAGUCAAAUUUAGCUCUUGGCUUCAUUUCACCCAGUCUGCCACAAUCAUCCACACUCAUCCAUGGGACUCUAGCUAUAACAACACUUCAUCCUGGACCAGAGAUUGGAAAACUUUUUCUGUAAAGGGUCAGAUAGGAAAUGUGUUUGGCUUUGUGCGUCAGAUGAUCUUUGUCAUAACUAUGCAACUUGCCAUUGUUGCAGAAAAGGAGCCAUAUGUAAACAAAUAGACAUGGCUGGGUUCCAAUAAAACUUUAUCUACAAAAACAGGUGGCAGGCUAGAUUUGGCCCAGGGACUAUAGUGUGCCUCCCUCACAACUUCUGUCCCUGACAAAAAAAAAAAAAAAGAAGAAGAAGAAGGAGACAUCCCCUCUUAUCCCAGUCUGCUGUUUUGAUGCCCUGCCUGAGGAUCAUGGGAGGUUUUUAAAGUCACAGAAGAUCUGGGAACAAUGGUUAAUUACUGCAGAGCUGCAAACCACAUCCAAAAUUAAUAGCUAAAGUGAACUGUCAAAGAGACGAAUUUGAUCAACACAGCACAACAACCCUACACUUAUCUUCUUCCUUCAUUCUGUCCCUUUUUUGCCUCUUAUCACAAGAGGGAAAAGAAGUAUCUGCUUGAUUAUUUGGGGUUUUAAUUUAAGUUUCAUGCUGAAAUCUUGACUUUUCAAGUAAGGGACAUUUUAUACUUUUCAUUAUAGAAAAAAAACAUAACUUUUAAUAAAGGUAAAUCAAACUGCUAGGUGGAAAAAAAGCAGACCCUGUUUAUCAUAACAUCACAGGCCAUCAUCCUAGUGCUAAGGUCUCUGAUAAAGGACAAAGAGACUUGUACCAUGCCCUGUUCUCCCAUAGCAUCUUUCCUUUCCCUAGGACCUGUCUCCUGUGAGCCUUUUGGAAAAGUAGAAGAGAGAGAAGAAAUUGGAAAUGGUGGGGGAGGGAGUUCCUGUUGUGGCUCAGCAGCGACGAAACCUAUUGGCGUCCAUGAGGAUUCAGGUUCGAUCCCUGGCCUCGCUCAGUGGGUUAAGGAUCCUGCCUUGCUGUGGCUAUGGCAUAGGCCUACAGCUACAGCUCAGAUUCGAUUCCUGGCCUGGAACUUCUUGUGCCUGAAAAGACAAAGCAAGAAAGCAAGAAAGAAAGAAAGAAAGAGAAAAAUGGUGGGGAAAAUGGAACAGAUCAUGAUAGGGCAAAUUUAACUCUAAAAAUUCUUUUUUUUUUUUUUUUUUUUCUGUUUUGUCCACAUUUCUUGAGAGAGGCUAGAAAU
RNAcentral lists this long non-coding RNA (3543 nucleotides) under Sus scrofa (pig). Its description in RNAcentral is "lncRNA (ENSSSCG00000054779.1, ENSSSCG00110033358.1, ENSSSCG00130016334.1, ENSSSCG00160020897.1)". The record is from RNAcentral. Lineage: Eukaryota; Metazoa; Chordata; Mammalia; Artiodactyla; Suidae.